GAGUUUGAUCCUGGCUCAGGACGAACGCUGGCGGCGUGCCUAAAACAUGCAAGUCGAACGAGCCUUCGGGCUAGUGGCGAACGGCGGAGUAAGACAUAAGCAACCUGCCCUGAAGACGGGGAUAUACGGGGGAAACCCCGGGUAAGUACCGACUAUGGCUCCGGAGAGGCAUCUCUUUGGUAAUUAAACGGUUUUUACGUCUUCUAGGAGGGGCGUUAUUGAUGCAUCAGGUAGGUUGGUGGGGUAAAGGGACCUACCAAGACCGACGACGCAUAGGGGGUCGUGAGAGGA
RNAcentral lists this ribosomal RNA (291 nucleotides) under uncultured Clostridia bacterium. RNAcentral's name for it is "partial 16S ribosomal RNA". It matches the Rfam family "Bacterial small subunit ribosomal RNA", at positions 9 to 300 of the family's 1533-position model. Lineage: Bacteria; Bacillati; Bacillota; Clostridia. The record is from RNAcentral.